UGAGUGAGAAGCUAUUAUGCGAUCAGUUUCGGCCUGAUUAUUUAUGAACAUUUGUUCCUUAC
This 62-nucleotide transfer RNA is filed under the name Appalachioria falcifera. Its description in RNAcentral is "tRNA-Arg". The record is from RNAcentral. Lineage: Eukaryota; Metazoa; Arthropoda; Diplopoda; Polydesmida; Xystodesmidae.